Quercus lobata is the source of this 2375-nucleotide RNA transcript. It is a transcript of the gene named UDP-N-acetylmuramoylalanine--D-glutamate ligase-like, with no coding region annotated. The record is from RefSeq and is a predicted model, not a curated record. The transcript is spliced from 14 exons. Lineage: Eukaryota; Viridiplantae; Streptophyta; Magnoliopsida; Fagales; Fagaceae.
AACCAAUCAAUGGUCACACGUCAGCACCAUCUCAAUGGAAUUCUUCCGCUUCCAGAGUAUACUCCAACGGUAAGUAAAUGUAGAGUAGACCGUAGAGUGUAGACACCACGAAUCCACGAUGCUCCUGCGAUCUGUAAGCCUAAGCCAUGGAUAUGAAACUUUAACUCUAAGACUUAGACCUAAUCGUCCUGCAAAGAACAGACUAUCAAAGAUCAUCAAAUCUUGCGCUCCCAGAAAGGACCUUCAAGGCCAAUCCGUUGCUAUCAUUGGUCUGGGAAAAUCUGGAAGAGCUGCAGCUAGGCUUGCUCUUGCAAGAGGUGCUUCAGUUCUCGCAAUUGAUGAAAAUAAGAAUUUGGGUCUGUUAGAGCAAGAUCCUCUUUUUGAAGAGUAUAGUGGUUUGAGAACAAUUCUUGGAAACCUUGAUGUACAGCUACUUAAGGAUGUCGAUUUGGUGGUUGUUUCCCCUGGAGUUCCACCAGAAAAUUAUGGUCUAUCCACAUUGUUGGAGUCAGGACAGCGGAUAAUGUCUGAGUUGGAUUUUGCUGCAGAAAUUCUUCCAAAAGAUAUCAAGAUUUUAGCAGUGACUGGAACCAAUGGAAAAUCAACUGUAGUUACUUUUGCUGGGCAGAUGCUUAAUCAUUUUGGCAUUGAGGCGUUUGUUGGGGGAAACCUUGGAAAUCCACUCUCGGAGGCUGCUUUUCUGUGCUUAUCACCUUCUAUGAAGCCUGGGUUUCAGGUGAGUCUGAUUGUUGCUGUUGUGGAGGUUAGCAGUUAUCAAAUGGAAAUUCCCAACAAGUACUUCUGCCCUUCAGUUGCUGCUGUGUUAAACCUUACCCCUGAUCAUUUAGAAAGGCACAAGACAAUGAAGAAUUAUGCAAUGACCAAGUGCAGUUUACUUUCUCACAUGACUGGCACCAAACUGGGACUUCUUUGUUUCGGAAAUCAGCAUUUGAAUGAAGCUGUUAGGGAACAUGCUGAAAAUUUUAAUCUUGCUUGGAUAGGAGCCUUUCCUGGAGUGAAAGUCAUUGCUUGUUUGCAACAGAUCAACAUUGAGACAAAAAUUGCCAGCUUGGAAGUUCCUACCAUGGGAGUUGUCUCACAACUACAAUUGGAUGCAAUGAAAGUAAUGGGAACGCACAACUAUUAUAAUGCUGCAGUGGCUGCAUUAUGUGUUCUCGGACUUGAUCUUGGACUUGAUGCUAAUGGUAUGAGUUCAACAAUUGAAAAUUUAAGGGCACCACCGCAUCGGAUGGAAAUUGUACACAGGGAUGCCAAUGGGGUAACAUGGGUUGAUGACAGUAAGGCAACAAAUGUUGAAGCAACGUACACUGGACUAUUGGGUCUGAAGCAACAAAAGUCUGUAAUUCUACUUGGUGGCCUUGCAAAGGUAGUAUAUGGGGAAGAAACUAAUGGAUUUGAACAAUUGAUUGAUCCACUGAAGUAUCAUAGAUGUGUGAUCACUUUCGGAUCUUCGGGAAAGGUGAUUCAGAAGACCUUGUCCGAUAAUGGUCUAAGCAUUCCCUGUAUUGGAGCUAAAAAUAUGGAGGAUGCAGUCAACUGUGCUAAGAGGAUGGCAAAAUUUGGAAAGAAAAACAAGAACGGAGAUUCUAUUUCCUUGAUAGAAAUUUCAUUAAAGAAGAAGAGAGGUGGAGAUGGGAGGAUAUGGAAGCUUCUAUUGUACCAAAUAAUACAAUUAACUACUGAAAGGUAACAAUAACUCCAAGAAGAUAAGGAAGAAUCAUGUCUUGGAUGUACAGAGAACUAUGGAAAAGCAAUCAAAGGAAAGCAUCUCUGAAUUGUGACUGGAUAUCUCAACACCCUUGGAAGCUUUGUUGUUGUGCUCAUUUCUAAAUGCUCCACAAGGAGCACAAUGGCACUGCUUAGAAUGCAAUACCUCUAAUAAAUGUCACUCCCACUUCCCUCUAGCUACACUAACAACUGAAGCACAAGUUGGCAUAAACCAAUUCAAGGACUUUCCAACUCAAGAACAGUAUUAUACAAAACUAAAUUCAAAGACCAAAAUUGUGCAAGCAACUAACUAGUGCUGAAGCAAAUAAUUAAAGGACUUUCCAUCUGUUUUCACAUACAAGAACAAUUAUAAAUGUAUAAUUAAACUAGCAAUUUCCAUUUUUUUAAAGUAAAAUUGCAGGUACUAUUUCUUUGUCAAGGGCCAGUCUGUCUGAUUAAAGCAUGAGGUACAAAUAAUUGGACAUAUGGGAGUUUGAAGACAUGAGCAUAUGGUGAACAACCUCUGUUGAAACAUUGGAAGUCAUAAAAGCUAUAACAGAAGAUGGGAUGCUAUUGUACUCAGUCCAGGUUGUGCGAGCUUUGAUGAAUUCAGAAAUUUUGAGCACAGAGGUUUGGUUUUUCAGGAG